Molecule: unclassified non-coding RNA, 358 nt
Filed under: soil metagenome
Description: partial contains 5.8S ribosomal RNA, internal transcribed spacer 2, and large subunit ribosomal RNA
Rfam family: 5.8S ribosomal RNA (bases 1-120)
Source: RNAcentral
GAUGAAGAACGUAGCGAAAUGCGAUAAGGAAUGUGAAUUGCAGAAUUCAGUGAAUCAUCGAAUCUUUGAACGCACAUUGCGCCCGUCAGUAUUCUGGCGGGCAUGCCUGUUCGAGCGUCAUUACGCCCCUCAAGUCCCCUGUGGACUUGGUGUUGGGGAUCGGCGAGGCUGGUUUUCCAGCACAGCCGUCCCUUAAAUUAAUUGGCGGUCUCGCCGUGGCCCUCCUCUGCGCAGUAGUAAAACACUCGCAACAGGAGCCCGGCGCGGUCCACUGCCGUAAAACCCCCCAACUUUUUAUAGUUGACCUCGAAUCAGGUAGGACUACCCGCUGAACUUAAGCAUAUCAAUAAGCGGAGGA